AGGGUGUAAACGCUGCAGACUUGGUGUUGGAAGCCCUUUGGGGGCAUUCAGUGCCGGAGAGAAGUUGUUAAGUCUGCUACUUGGGGAGUACGUCCGCAAGGAUGAAACUUAAAGGAAUUGGCGGGGGAGCACCGCAACGGGAGGAGCGUGCGGUUUAAUUGGAUUCAACACCGUAAAACUCACCAGGGAAGACUGUUACAUGAAGGCCGAGAUGAAGACUCUGCCAGAUUUUCAGAGAGGAGGUGCAUGGCGUCAGUGACU
Molecule: ribosomal RNA, 261 nt
Filed under: uncultured archaeon
Lineage: Archaea
Description: partial 16S ribosomal RNA
Rfam family: Archaeal small subunit ribosomal RNA
Source: RNAcentral